AACAGCUGAGAGUUCUUAUGAGUGAGAUAAGAGGCCAUUAUUCACCAAUUUUGUGUGUGUUUGCAAGAAAGGAAGGGGAAAGUCAAGCUAGGAGAGUUGGGGAGCUUGGAUCUACUUCCAUUUCGACAGAGGAAGCUACUUGAGGAGGAUUAUAGCUCAGAGGAUCGAGCACGAGCGAUUUCCAGGAUUCGCGAGUUAUCGAGAUAUACGAGGUACUAGUGAUGACCGUGGGAAGGCGCCGACUUGAUCUGUACACACGCAUGGGAUUUUUAUGAUAUGUGAUCUUGGGAUUUUGUAUGAUAUGGAUUGGAGUCUUAAAACAUUGAUGUUUUUAUGAAAAUUAAAUGAAAAUGUUUUUAUAUUAUGCA
This is a non-coding RNA of Lactuca sativa (garden lettuce), 368 nucleotides long. NCBI's taxonomy places the organism in Eukaryota, Viridiplantae, Streptophyta, Magnoliopsida, Asterales, Asteraceae. The record is from RefSeq and is a predicted model, not a curated record.